GACGAACGCUGGCGGCGUGCUUAACACAUGCAAGUCGAACGGAAAGGCCCUGCUUUUGUGGGGUGCUCGAGUGGCGAACGGGUGAGUAACACGUGAGUAACCUGCCUUUGACUCUGGGAUAACUUCAGGAAACUGGGGCUAAUACCGGAUAUGAGCUCCUGCUGCACGGUGGGGGUUGGAAAGUUUCGGCGGUUGGGGAUGGACUCGGGGCUUAUCAGAUUGUUGGUGGGGUAGUGGCUUACCAAGGCUUUGACGGAUAGCCGGCCUGAGAGGGUGACCGGCCACAUUGGGACGGAGAUACGGCCCAGACUCCUACGGGAGGAAGGAGUGGGGAAUGUAGCACAAUGGGCGGAAGGCUGAUGCAGCAACGCCGCGUGCGGGAUGACGGCCUUCGGGUUGUAAACCGCUUUCGACUGUGACGAAGCGUGGGUGACGGUAAUGGGUGAAGAAGCACCGGCUAACUACGUG
Molecule: ribosomal RNA, 468 nt
Filed under: uncultured bacterium
Lineage: Bacteria
Description: partial 16S ribosomal RNA
Rfam family: Bacterial small subunit ribosomal RNA
Source: RNAcentral